GCAGAUGCUACUCCCCUCUGCAGGAAACAAGACAAAUCUACACAGUUCUGAAGAAUCGAUAUUAGGUAAAAUGAAAACAAGCAGCUCAUAUGAACAAACUACAAACACACUGAGGAGUGAUGAAAUGCUGUAUAUAGAAACACAGCAGCAUAAUCCAGACAUACACUAGUGCGCUCUCUGUGCUGAGUUACAUCACUGCACCAAAAUAUACACUGCAUGACUAUUAAAACAUGAAUAAAUAUAAAAUGUGAAAACAAGUUCAGACAAAAACAUUUUAGGAAAAUCAACAACAAUGUAAGAAGUCAGCUUAUGUGAUGUUCUCUCAAAUUCUUCAGUUUUAUUGACAAUUCAAUUUUCAAGAUGACUUUGGGAAAUGAGUAAUGCAUCUAAAGAAAGAUAACAGCAGAAGUGAGGAAAUGAGUGAAACGUCUAUUAAGAAUUGCCCGACCUCAAAAACUAUUUUUACCUUGACAAAAUGACAUUCAAUCCAAUCAAUGUAUCAUAAAUUGGAUUUUCUGAGUAAGUAAGAAAUAGUAUGUGUAUACUAGUGCAAAUUACUAGAUUUUACAGUUAAGACAUUAAGUACAUUUAUGCAUUUAGCAGACAGUUUUAUCCAAAGUGACUUACAGUGCAUUCAGGACACACUUUUUUUUUUUUUAUCAGUAUGUGUGUUUCUUGGGAAUUGAACCCCCAACCGUUUGUGCUGCUAACACAAUGCUCUACCGCUGAGCCACAGAAAUACCAGUUCUUAAGUAAGUAGUUAACUUAAAAGUGUUUGUUAGAACAGCUGCUGGAUUUGACAGUGAAGUUACUCACAACUGAUUCAUUACAUGCUUGUUCUGAAAGGUGAGUCUGAAAGUAGUUGUUUUUAAAGCUGGUUUAAAUGACUGAACACACAUAAUAUGAAUGAAAAUUCAACUUAACACAACAACAAAAUACAAAUUCAACUUACUGAUAUAUACAUAUACAUCACCUUUUGUUUACAGUCAUAUGCCUAUAUGAUUUAUUGUGUGUUUACAUUAAAAAGCAAUGAAAAUGAAAAAUCCUCAUUUAAUCAGAAGCUUAUUUAAAUAGGUAUCAGCAAAAGCCAACACCCCCUUCUUUGCAUCGUCAGCACAUGCUUCAGUGCUCUGAGAGUGUUUAUAGUGCUGUGAGUUUAACACUUCAUGACUGAGAGCAGAACACAACACAAUCUUCAUCAUCACACAAGACAAAACAACUACAAUGAACAACAUCCUCAUCCUCAUCUGGACCAUUGCAGCACUUAUUGAAGAAUCCAGAGGAGUCACUUUGACUCAACCUGAAGUUAAAACUGUGAAACAGGGUCAAGCAGCUACAAUAGAGUGUAAUAUUGACAUCGGGAUACGCUACAGUCACAUGUACUGGUAUCAGAAGAAACCUGGAGAAGCUCCUAAACUCCUCAUAUAUCAGAUAAACACCCUCCAGUCAGGAACUCCAUCUAGAUUCAGUGGCAGUGGAACAGCAAAUACUGGAAGAGAUUUCACUCUCACCAUCAGUGGAGUCCAGACUGAAGAUACAGGAGAUUAUUACUGUCAGAGUUACCACUACGUCAACAGUAAAGAUGUUCACACAGUGAUAAAGAGUCAUACAAAAACCUCCAUCAGUCAGAUUCACAGUGACUGCACUGAUACAGCUGAGAGAUACUGCAGCUGCUGAAGGGAGGAUGACAAACAACACAAAGAUUUUUUUUUGUAGCAAAUUCAGCAUUAAACACUACAAGUCUCCGCUUUUUCAUCUUGAAACAAAAAAUACUUAUUUUCAAUUUUUUUUUACUCUCCCUGUUAAGUCUCAUGCAAAGCAGUAAACAGUUGAUUCAAACAUUCAGAAGGUCAGUAUGACUGCUGAGAGUCUCAGUGUGAACAAACCUCAUCUCUUCAUUAGUCCGACUCAACUGACUGCUUUCAGAGAAUAAAGAGUC
Molecule: non-coding RNA, 1939 nt
Organism: Onychostoma macrolepis
Lineage: Eukaryota; Metazoa; Chordata; Actinopteri; Cypriniformes; Cyprinidae
Source: the annotation of a RefSeq genome assembly